RNAcentral lists this ribosomal RNA (253 nucleotides) under uncultured bacterium. RNAcentral's name for it is "partial 16S ribosomal RNA". It matches the Rfam family "Bacterial small subunit ribosomal RNA", at positions 524 to 776 of the family's 1533-position model. The record is from RNAcentral.
UACGUAGGGUGCGAGCGUUGCUCGGAAUCACUGGGCGUAAAGGGUGCGUAGGCGGCCGUGCAAGUCUGGCGUGAAAGCCCCGGGCUCAGCCCGGGAAGUGCGCUCGAAACUGCGCGGCUCGAGUGCCGGAGGGGAGAGUGGAAUUCCUGGUGUAGCGGUGAAAUGCGUAGAUAUCAGGAGGGAUACCGGUGGCGAAAGCGACUCUCUGGACGGCAACUGACGCUGAGGCACGAAAGCGUGGGGAGCAAACAGG